UUCUUCAUCUAGUAGUAAGGAUACUAUUAUCAGGAAAGUUUUCUCAAGUAGAGUCUCUUCCACUGUCCUUGAGGUGCCACUGACCUUGCAUUUUCCCCAAUUGUGGGAAAAUUAACUGCAUAUUCUGUGGUAGUGAAAAACUGACCC
Cricetulus griseus (Chinese hamster) is the source of this 147-nucleotide small nuclear RNA. Its record names the gene U1. It matches the Rfam family "U1 spliceosomal RNA". From Rfam's summary of the family: U1 is a small nuclear RNA (snRNA) component of the spliceosome (involved in pre-mRNA splicing). Its 5' end forms complementary base pairs with the 5' splice junction, thus defining the 5' donor site of an intron. There are significant differences in sequence and secondary structure between metazoan and yeast U1 snRNAs, the latter being much longer (568 nucleotides as compared to 164 nucleotides in human). The record is from Ensembl. Lineage: Eukaryota; Metazoa; Chordata; Mammalia; Rodentia; Cricetidae.